GAACGGCAGCACGGACUUCGGUCUGGUGGCGAGUGGCGAACGGGUGAGUAAUAUAUCGGAACAUACCCUAGAGUGGGGGAUAACGUAGCGAAAGUUACGCUAAUACCGCAUACGCACUAAGGUGGAAAGUGGGGGAUCGCAAGACCUCAUGCUCAUGGAGUGGCCGAUAUCUGAUUAGCUAGUUGGUGAGGUAAAGGCUCACCAAGGCGACGAUCAGUAGCUGGUUUGAGAGAACGACCAGCCACACUGGAACUGAGACACGGUCCAGACUCCUACGGGAGGCAGCAGUGGGGAAUUUUGGACAAUGGGCGCAAGCCUGAUCCAGCAAUGCCGCGUGAGUGAAGAAGGCCUUCGGGUUGUAAAGCUCUUUUGUCAGGGAAGAAACGGUAUCUCCUAAUACGGGGUGCUAAUGACGGUACCUGAAGAAUAAGCACCGGCUAACUACGUGCCAGCAGCCGCGGUAAUACGUAGGGUGCAAGCGUUAAUCGGAAUUACUGGGCGUAAAGCGUGCGCAGGCGGUUAUAUAAGUCAGAUGUGAAAUCCCCGGGCUCAACCUGGGAACUGCAUUUGAGACUGUAUGGCUAGAGUGUGUCAGAGGGGGGUAGAAUUCCACGUGUAGCAGUGAAAUGCGUAGAUAUGUGGAGGAAUACCGAUGGCGAAGGCAGCCCCCUGGGAUAACACUGACGCUCAUGCACGAAAG
RNAcentral lists this ribosomal RNA (700 nucleotides) under Undibacterium sp. BF-GEL-BP9. Its description in RNAcentral is "bacterial SSU rRNA". It matches the Rfam family "Bacterial small subunit ribosomal RNA", at positions 64 to 759 of the family's 1533-position model. Lineage: Bacteria; Pseudomonadati; Pseudomonadota; Betaproteobacteria; Burkholderiales; Oxalobacteraceae. The record is from RNAcentral.